ACUCAAAGGAAUAGACGGGGGCCCGCACAAGCGGUGGAGCAUGUGGAUUAAUUCGACGCAACGCGAAGAACCUUACCAAGGCUUGACAUGGAAAUGACAGUUGUAGAAAUACAAUUUCCCUACGGGGCAUUUCACACAGGUGGUGCAUGGUUGUCGUCAGCUCGUGUCGUGAGAUGUUGGGUUAAGUCCCGCAACGAGCGCAACCCUUACGUCCGGUUGCCAGCAUAUAAGGUGGGCACAUUGGAUGGACUGCCGUGGAGAACACGGAGGAAGGUGGGGAUGAUGUCAAAUCAUCAUGCCCCUUAUGUCUUGGGCUUCACACGUGCUACAAUGGUUUAUACAAAGUGAAGCGAAGCAGUGAUGCAGAGCGAAACACAAAAAAAGACCCCAGUUCGGAUUGCAGGCUGCAACUCGCCUGCAUGAAGUUGGAAUCGCUAGUAAUCGCGAAUCAGCAUGUCGCGGUGAAUACGUUCCCGGGCCUUGUACACACCGCCCGU
Molecule: ribosomal RNA, 497 nt
Filed under: uncultured bacterium
Lineage: Bacteria
Description: bacterial SSU rRNA
Rfam family: Bacterial small subunit ribosomal RNA
Source: RNAcentral